Oncorhynchus masou masou (cherry salmon) is the source of this 1528-nucleotide long non-coding RNA. RefSeq lists it as uncharacterized. Lineage: Eukaryota; Metazoa; Chordata; Actinopteri; Salmoniformes; Salmonidae. The transcript is spliced from 4 exons. The record is from RefSeq and is a predicted model, not a curated record.
UGCAGACCUAGACCCUGAUGAGUCUUCCACUGUUAGAUUUGUACAAUUGUUACAUUGGAGCAGCGUGCAAAAUGAGCUAUGUUGAUACAUUGUAUAAUUUCACCGCUUGUUAUAACCAAGCACACUGUCCAGACUUUGCAAGUUCACUGUCAUACAGCCUCUGUGAGUGUCAGAGAGUGGAAAUGGAGCACCGCUUCGUGACCGGCAUGUUUGCAGCUUUACAGCAAAGAAAACGGCUUGUAUCUAACCAAAACGCUGACAGUCUGCAAAGGAUCCCGGUUGCAUUAUGGACUCGGCGGAGACGAUGAAAUAGAUGCUAUUCUCCCAUUCUGUAUGAACGUUUUUUCAAACACACCAAGAACAGAGGAUAUAACCGUCCCAUCAAAUCCCCCGGGAACCUCCACCCACUCGCUCCAUAUUCAAGACCCAAACAAGGGACGCACAACUCAGGCGCAAGUGCAUUGCGCAGAAUCACCUCAGCCCCAGAAGUGUUACUGGGCCGGAAACUUACUGCUUCAAGAAAUGGCGCUACAUGGACACGACUCCAAUGAGACAUGCCCGGUAGAAUCUGGAAUGCUUGGUGAAAAAAGUCUAGAGGCAAUGGUUUCCGGUGAUUCGUCAGUACAGCCCUCAUCAAAAAAAGCCCAGACUCCUCCCCAGCGUAUAACGGCACAGAAUACCAUACACAACGAGAGCACGCGGAGGAUUUCGGCACACAGGACAUCCCCAAUAAAACACCAAAACCAGAUGAUUUCAAAGAUUUCAAUGGCAUUUCGGAGGUAGACGACUUGAUGUUAUGUGAAGCGGCCAACCUUCUUGAUUCAUCCAAUUCUUUUGUAGAAACACCCAAACUUGAAAUAGAACAAGCUAGGUUCUCACAGCCUUUCCAGAAAUGUUUUGCUACACAAAUGAAUGGUGGCUUUCCUCGAGUGGCGAUACAGUCAGGAUCUAUCCUUCUGGCAUCGAACAAUACCACGUUUGGUAAACAACAAACCGAUUAAAAAAAGCAAAUACAGAUGCUAAAAACCUAUAUGUAACAUGUAUCCUUCCAGAAUACCACAAGAACACACAUCAUUAAUUACCCAAAUGGAUAAGCCAACAGACGUAAUCCCAGAUACUGCCCGAACUCCAAGCUUUAAUUUACCAGAUCAAUGAGGCUGGGGUAACAGACAUAAUUCCGAUAGAUGAAACCCUGUUAUCCCAGAUUCCUGCCGAACUCAUAUAAUUAAUUAAUCUUAUGGAAGAGUCCGGGACGACCGAUGAAAACCUGUUAUCCCUGACGCACUCAUAUCGUUAAUUAGCCUCUGUGGGAUAUGUGAGACGCUAGCGUUACACUCACAGACAUAAUUCAAACAGUUUUAGAAACUUCGGAGUGUUUUCUAUCCAAAUAUACUAAUUAUAUGCUUAUUAUAGCUUUUGGCUCUGAGUAGCAGGUAGUUUACUCUGGGCACCUUAUUAUCCAAGCUACUCAAUACUGCCCCCCAGUCCCAAAGAAGUUAUCCAGAUGAAUGAGAGCAUAAGAUCUUCA